Molecule: long non-coding RNA, 747 nt
Organism: Asparagus officinalis (garden asparagus)
Lineage: Eukaryota; Viridiplantae; Streptophyta; Magnoliopsida; Asparagales; Asparagaceae
Exons: 2
Source: RefSeq, a predicted model, not a curated record
UUGUUGUUACUAAUUUUGUUGUUUGCUUGUUGCUUAAAUACAAGGAAGUAAAGAAAAAAAAUGCGGAAAAGGAAAAAUCAUACACCGUCACCCGUCAUCAUCUCUUAUUAUGUUUGUAUUUAGAUGCUUGAGCUUGUUUGCUGGAGAAGUUGUUCACAGUUCGGUAAACCAUAACUGGUAACUACUUAACCUUUUGAGACGUCUGAAAAGGGUUAGCCAGUAUGUUAUGAAUCUUUAUACACCAGCUGAUAUUACCAUGGGUUUGUUGCUGAACUGUCAACAUUUAGCUGGAAUGUUUUUACGGGAGCUAUGAACACAUUCAUGACUACAUCUUCUAGCUAUCAUGCAACGAGUACUCUAGAAUAUAUGGAGGUCAAUACCAUCUGAUUGGCGAAGUAGUAUCAAUGAAGGUCACUUGUAGGACUUGCUUUCAGAUUUCAAAUGGAGUUAGGAACGUACAUUCCAUACAUCAAGCUCCAGUUGCUGAGUUUGGAACAUACGUUCCACACAUCAAGCUCCAGCUGCUGAGGUAUGGAAGCUGUGCAUAGAGAGGGAGAGAAGCACCAAAAUAUGAGUAUGCCAUUGAUUACUAUCAACAAUAACAUGCUUAUAAAACUGUUACGUGCAAUUCUGGCUAAAGUACAAAAAAAAAAAAAACAUGUAUGUUUAUCAUCUUUGCAUGAAUUAGCUUUACCAUAUGUACGCCCUGUUUGUUUAUAUCUUCAUGAUGUGUGCUUUUUGUUUGUU